UACGUAGGGGGCAAGCGUUGUCCGGAAUUAUUGGGCGUAAAGAGCGCGCAGGCGGUCGUUCAAGUCGCGUGUGAAAGCCCCCGGCUCAACUGGGGAGGGUCACGCGAUACUGAUCGACUCGAAGGCAGGAGAGGGUAGUGGAAUUCCCGGUGUAGUGGUGAAAUGCGUAGAUAUCGGGAGGAACACCAGUGGCGAAGGCGACUACCCGGCCUGUUCUUGACGCUGAGGCGCGAAAGCUAGGGGAGCAAACGGG
This 253-nucleotide ribosomal RNA is filed under the name uncultured bacterium. Its description in RNAcentral is "partial 16S ribosomal RNA". It matches the Rfam family "Bacterial small subunit ribosomal RNA", at positions 524 to 776 of the family's 1533-position model. The record is from RNAcentral.